ACGUGGAAUGGCGUGUCAUUUAGCGCUACCAAUUUAGGCUUACCUACCUAUAGUAAAAAAACAUUCAUCGGUUCUGCAUUAUUGGUCCUGAUGUAGAACCAGCCUCAGAACAUCAGUUCCUCAUGUUUGAUUGCUAGUUCAUUGAUUUGCUGCUGCCACAAGCCUAACUACUUUCUGAUCUUCCACUUGGCCUCAGGGUGCGCACUGCACACAUUGUGCAGAGCACAACCGGAAAAUAGAGGAGCUUGAGCAAUGAGCAUGCAAAUGCCCGCCUGACAAAGAAGCUUCGCAGAGCCAAACAGAAGUGUGUCAUGCCCAACAUGGUGGAUCAAAUGGCAAAUCUAAUCCAGACUGCCUCCAACCCGAACGCUGCUGCUGUUACAGCAGCACCAAUGAGCAGGUGCAACAAGUGGGCCGAAUACCAGACAACAGGACGCUCAUCCAGGAAAGUGUUGGCAG
Molecule: long non-coding RNA, 459 nt
Organism: Ornithodoros turicata
Lineage: Eukaryota; Metazoa; Arthropoda; Arachnida; Ixodida; Argasidae
Exons: 3
Source: RefSeq, a predicted model, not a curated record